UGGCCUAUAUUUAUGGUUGACUAUCUUUA
Molecule: non-coding RNA, 29 nt
Filed under: Rattus norvegicus (Norway rat)
Lineage: Eukaryota; Metazoa; Chordata; Mammalia; Rodentia; Muridae
Source: RNAcentral